Molecule: long non-coding RNA, 1038 nt
Filed under: Salmo salar (Atlantic salmon)
Lineage: Eukaryota; Metazoa; Chordata; Actinopteri; Salmoniformes; Salmonidae
Description: lncRNA (ENSSSAG00000103087.1)
Source: RNAcentral
GUUCCCGGCCACCAGGAGCGCCGCUUCUGGGUGAGCAUUUUCUUCGUUGCUUAUGGCCUUAUAGAGUUGGUUGAGAGCGGUCUUAGUGCCAGCUUCGCAUUGUGGUUGUAAAUAGACGGCUACGAAUAAUACAGAUGAGAACUCUUUUGGUAGAUAGUGCGGUCGACAGCUAUCAAGAGGUACUCUACCUCAGGAGAGCAAUACCUCGAGACUUCUUUAAUAUUAGACAUCGUGCACCAGCUGUUAUUGACAAAAAGACACACACCCCCACCCCUCGUCUUACCAGACGUAGCAUCUCUAUUCUGCCGGUGCAUGGAAAAUCCUGCCAGCUCUAUACUGUCCGAUAAUCUUAAUAUUAGGUCAUCAAAAAAAAUAAUUGCGAUUGCAUGUUAGCAAGAAGAAUGGAAGGCAUUAGGAGUUUACUCGCUCGCCUCCGGAUUCUCAAAAGGAUCCCUGAUCUGCGUCCCCUUUUCCGGUGUCUUUUGUUCACGCAAAAGGCGUGGACCUGGGCCUGUUCCAGUGGAAGCAGGAUAUCCUUCUCGUCGGACUCAUUAAAGGAAAAAGUUUCUUCCAGUCCACGAGAAUGCAGAGAGAGUGUGGAGGCUAGUAGAGGUUUUAUUAUGCCCGCGCUCUGACACUCCCUCUUCCGGACCAGCUCGGCUGAAUGCCCUGGCUCCAACUGAUGCCAGCCUCGAUGAUCAUACUGAUAACGCUCUUAUACUGAUAUGCCAUGAAGAUGGAUCUAGUGCCCAGGGCACACUCACCUCCACCCUCCUCCACCUCAGGGUAGUUCUGACGGGGACACGACCUCCCACAACCUCCACACAUGGGGUGCCACACGCAGGGCGCCGGGGUGCCCCAGAGUCUCCUGCCCAAACCCCCAACUUUGUGGAUUCACUUUUAUUUGGAAAGACUUUAUUUACUUUUUUCCUGCAUGCUUUCAGUGGUGUGGGAUGGAGAGAGAGAUGACUACCUGACUGACAAACCUGGUUUCACAGCAUUUCAUAUUAUUCUGUGCCUAAAUCCGAGAUGCUCCAU